UGACACCAAACGUCGUGGAGGGUAU
RNAcentral lists this non-coding RNA (25 nucleotides) under Mus musculus (house mouse). Lineage: Eukaryota; Metazoa; Chordata; Mammalia; Rodentia; Muridae. The record is from RNAcentral.